RNAcentral lists this transfer RNA (72 nucleotides) under Euprotomicrus bispinatus. Its description in RNAcentral is "tRNA-Thr". It matches the Rfam family "tRNA". Rfam says of the family: Transfer RNA (tRNA) molecules are approximately 80 nucleotides in length. Their secondary structure includes four short double-helical elements and three loops (D, anti-codon, and T loops). The record is from RNAcentral. Lineage: Eukaryota; Metazoa; Chordata; Chondrichthyes; Squaliformes; Dalatiidae. RNAcentral also lists the same sequence under 1 other name.
GUUUUGGUGGCUAAAAUAAAAAGCGUCGGCCUUGUAAGUCGAAGACCGGAGGUGCAAAUCCUCCCCACAACA